GGUCCCGGCCGUGACUGGCGUACCUGAGGUGGGCUGAACCACCGGGGAGCGGCCGGAACCACCAACCGUCGCACCGUUCGCCUGGGUGCUCGGG
RNAcentral lists this non-coding RNA (94 nucleotides) under Cellulomonas cellasea. RNAcentral describes it as "ZTP sequence". It matches the Rfam family "ZMP/ZTP riboswitch aptamer (pfl RNA motif)". Rfam says of the family: Previously known as pfl RNA. ZMP is also known as AICAR. RNAcentral also lists the same sequence under 1 other name. Lineage: Bacteria; Bacillati; Actinomycetota; Actinomycetes; Micrococcales; Cellulomonadaceae. The record is from RNAcentral.